This 274-nucleotide ribosomal RNA is filed under the name uncultured bacterium. Its description in RNAcentral is "partial 16S ribosomal RNA". It matches the Rfam family "Bacterial small subunit ribosomal RNA", at positions 523 to 796 of the family's 1533-position model. The record is from RNAcentral.
CUACGGAGGGUGCAAGCGUUAUUCGGAAUCACUGGGCGUAAAGGGUGCGUAGGCGGUUUGAUAAGUCUGAUGUGAAAUCCUAUGGCUCAACCAUAGAACUGCAUUGGAAACUGUCAGACUAGAAUACUGAAGGGGCAGAUGGAAUUAGUGGUGUAGGGGUAAAAUCCGUAGAUAUCACUAGGAAUACCGAAAGCGAAAGCGAUCUGCUGGGAAGUUAUUGACGCUGAGGCACGAAAGCGUGGGGAGCAAACAGGAUUAGAAACCCUAGUAGUCC